CUGCACAGGGUAACUGCCAGCCCUUAGCCGCGGGUCCACCCUGGGGGCCGGGAGAGCUCCAGGCACCCACCUCCUCGGCACCACGCACACGUCAGGCCGUCGCUCGGUCAUCCAUGCACUGCGUCUCCCAGCGCUGGCCGAGCUGAGAAGGGUACGGAGACAGAAAGGCACGAAUGCUGGCAGCCGUCGCCCGGGCCAGGCACUCCGGAGCCCAAUGCCUAAGGGUCCGGAAUGGGAGAUACACAGCAAACCUCGUGAACAGGCUCGUCAGACCUCGGUGCAGGAGAAAGCCCAGGAUCGAAGCUGCUCCCCCACGACCCGCCAGAGGAUGCGAAGGAACGAAGCUCCCAGACCACUCUCUUCCGUGUGACCUGUCUGAAAUAAUGUCACGUGCUGUGGCCUGAGCACCUGCUCCCUCCUAAAUUUCAGUCAGACUCACGUCGUGGCCCUCGCAUCCCUGAGUGUGCAGGUUAGCUGCAAGGACAUGGCCCUCGCUGUGCACGCCGCACCCCUACCCAGCCCAGCACCUUCACGUGCCACCCACGCCCACAGCCUGGCAACUCCACCCUCAGCCUGUCUCCGAGUGCGACUGUCCUUGGGACCGCGUGGGACGAGACCACGCCGUGUGUGCUCCCGGCUGGUUUCAUUUAGCGCCGUGUCCUCGAGCCCCAGCCACGCCCGGGCACCCCUUCACUUCUUUAACCCCCAAUGGGGCGGCCACAUAGACCAUGCGGGCUUCGCCUUCCCACUUUGCCAUGCUCCUUAGAGAACGUUCCAGAUCAGUGGACAGAGACAGAACUCAGUGUCACGGCUGGAUGAUAGUUCGUUUCAGGAAGGGCCAGACUUUACCUGACCAGCUGUGUCUGUUACAGACAACACAUGAUCAAUGUCCUUGUGCCCGUGUGCAAAUGUAUAGCAGGGCACCGUCCUCCAGGGAGACCUGCUGUCCUAGGUCUUGGGCAUUGGCUGGGUUGUCAGGGAAGUUAGAAUGUGAUCCUUUCGGGAUCUGUGGC
This is a long non-coding RNA of Tupaia belangeri chinensis (Chinese tree shrew), 1013 nucleotides long. RefSeq lists it as uncharacterized. The transcript has 3 exons. The record is from RefSeq and is a predicted model, not a curated record. Lineage: Eukaryota; Metazoa; Chordata; Mammalia; Scandentia; Tupaiidae.